CAGCAAGACAUGUGUGUCUCCUCCAAGGUCAUCAGACAUCUGGUCCUCUGUGCCGGCUUCUCCCUGUCUGACUGCCUAUCGUAUUCUAACUAGCUCAGCUGCCUGCACCACUAGCAGCAUACCUCUUGUUGAACACCGAUUCUUACGUAUGCAAUCAUGGACUCAUCUAACUCAUCGCCUGUUUGCCUUGCUGCCCCCUCAUCUCCAUGCUGAGCUCUGCUCUCCUAAGUGCAAGUGUCCGAGGAAAUGUCCAAACCGAGGUGACUAAGUGGGUGUCAAGCCAGUUGGAGAAACGGGAAAGACGUUACUAAUGGCACAGGUCUUCCGAGUCAAUGGACCCUGUCUCUUCUGAUUUCAUUAUCAAUUCACCAUGGGAACCUGGCAGUGUGCUCAGUCAAAUUCAAAAGCUCAAAAACAAAAAAGGGAGGAAAAUCCAAUUUCAGAGUCAGGUGAAAACAUCGUAACUCAGAGAAAAUCUUUG
Molecule: long non-coding RNA, 481 nt
Filed under: Cavia porcellus (domestic guinea pig)
Lineage: Eukaryota; Metazoa; Chordata; Mammalia; Rodentia; Caviidae
Description: lncRNA (ENSCPOG00000035502.1)
Source: RNAcentral